UUAAAUUGAAGAGUUUGAUCAUGGCUCAGAUUGAACGCUGGCGGCAGGCCUAACACAUGCAAGUCGAACGGUAACAGAAAGCAGCUUGCUGCUUUGCUGACGAGUGGCGGACGGGUGAGUAAUGUCUGGGAAACUGCCCGAUGGAGGGGGAUAACUACUGGAAACGGUAGCUAAUACCGCAUAACGUCGCAAGACCAAAGAGGGGGACCUUCGGGCCUCUUGCCAUCGGAUGUGCCCAGAUGGGAUUAGCUAGUAGGUGGGGUAAC
Molecule: ribosomal RNA, 266 nt
Filed under: Escherichia coli
Lineage: Bacteria; Pseudomonadati; Pseudomonadota; Gammaproteobacteria; Enterobacterales; Enterobacteriaceae
Description: partial 16S ribosomal RNA
Rfam family: Bacterial small subunit ribosomal RNA
Source: RNAcentral